GGAAGUAAAGUCGUAACAAGGUUUCCGUAGGUGAACCUGCGGAAGGAUCAUUCAUAAUAAAGUGUUUUAUGGCACUUUUUAAAAAUCCAUAUCCACCUUGUGUGCAAUGUUAGAUCUCGUCAAUCUUGGCGAGAUUUUUAUACAUCAACUCAUUCUUUAACUAAUUUGUCUGAAAAAUAUUAUGAAUACUUAAUUCAAAAUACAACUUUCAACAACGGAUCUCUUGGCUCUC
RNAcentral lists this unclassified non-coding RNA (232 nucleotides) under plant metagenome. Its description in RNAcentral is "partial contains small subunit ribosomal RNA, internal transcribed spacer 1, and 5.8S ribosomal RNA". The stretch from base 1 to 53 matches the Rfam family "Eukaryotic small subunit ribosomal RNA", at positions 1778 to 1831 of the family's 1831-position model. The record is from RNAcentral.